This 443-nucleotide ribosomal RNA is filed under the name Drosophila wassermani. RNAcentral describes it as "partial 12S ribosomal RNA". The record is from RNAcentral. Lineage: Eukaryota; Metazoa; Arthropoda; Insecta; Diptera; Drosophilidae.
UAUUAUUUAUAAUGUUUUAUAAAAAUACUUAAGUAGUAAUAGUUAUGUUCUUGAAACUUAAAAAAUUUGGCGGUAUUUUAGUCUAUCCAGAGGAACCUGUUUUGUAAUCGAUAAUCCACGAUGGACCUUACUUAAAUUUGUAUUCAGUUUAUAUACCGUCGUUAUUAGAAUAUUUUAUAAGAAUAUUAAUAUUCAAUAGUUUUUAUAAGAAUUUAUAUCAGAUCAAGGUGUAGCUUAUGUUUAAGUAAUAAUGGGUUACAAUAAAUUUAUUUACAAUGGAUAAAAUUAUGAAAAAGUUUUUGAAAGUGGAUUUGGUAGUAAAAUUAUAAAGAUAAAUAAUUUGAUUUUAGCUCUAAAAUAUGUACAUAUCGCCCGUCGCUCUUAUUAUUAAGGUAAGAUAAGUCGUAACAUAGUAGAUGUACUGGAAAGUGUAUCUAGAAUGA